Molecule: ribosomal RNA, 253 nt
Filed under: uncultured bacterium
Lineage: Bacteria
Description: partial 16S ribosomal RNA
Rfam family: Bacterial small subunit ribosomal RNA
Source: RNAcentral
GACAGAGGGGGCAAGCGUUGCUCGGAAUUACUGGGCGUAAAGGGCGCGUAGGCGGGAUGGCAAGUCGGUCGUGAAAGCCUUCGGCUCAACCGAAGAACGUCGGCCGAUACUGCCGUUCUUGAGGGAUGCAGAGGAGACUGGAAUUCCCGGUGUAGCGGUGAAAUGCGUAGAUAUCGGGAGGAACAUCAGUGGCGAAGGCGGCUACCUGGACCAACACUGACACUGAGGCACGAAAGCGUGGGUAGCAAACAGG